Molecule: long non-coding RNA, 631 nt
Organism: Nymphalis io (European peacock)
Lineage: Eukaryota; Metazoa; Arthropoda; Insecta; Lepidoptera; Nymphalidae
Exons: 3
Source: RefSeq, a predicted model, not a curated record
CACAGGGUUGAUUUUUAUCUGACAAAUAAGUUAUAAGCAAUUGAAGUCGGUCAUCAUAAUUUGUUUGUUGUAAUUACUUACGAGUAACUUGUACAUUCACGUGUCUGAAUUAGUUCUUUGUGUAUGAACUUUAAGCGACUACGACGACGAUGCUGACGUGACAGCCAAUCAAAUUCGUUGAAGGAGUAAACAAAGUUGCUUGAAAAGGAAGAAUCAUAGUGUGGGGAAUGAACACCGAUUCGAUUGACAGUUGCUUAUAUAACUUGGCUUAGGGGAGGUCUUCAUCCAGAUAUGGAUCUAUGUCAAGUCUUUGCUUGAUUAGGUAAACUCAUAGUUAUUCAUGCUUAACAACAAUAUCUUGUUGAGUGGCAAGUGGGCUAAGCAAGAGCUGUUAUAAUGAAAACUGUUUCAACAUCAACUGAUGGUGACAUUGAUGUUUCCGCCAUAUUUGGUACAUGAAUUACACAGAUUAAUAAAUAAGAGAUAUAUUAUCUGAAGAAACUUAGCAAAAAGAAUCUGCAUUUGUGGUGUACGAUAAAAGAAGCAAUUAUAAAAAAUAACUCCGGAAAUAUGCUAGUUUUAAAAUAUAUUGGCGAUUUCGCAAGUCUAUUGUUCAAACAACAAUAGGCUG